Molecule: ribosomal RNA, 491 nt
Filed under: uncultured bacterium
Lineage: Bacteria
Description: partial 16S ribosomal RNA
Rfam family: Bacterial small subunit ribosomal RNA
Source: RNAcentral
AGUGAACGCUGGCGGUAGGCCUAACACAUGCAAGUCGAACGGCAGCACAGUAAGAGCUUGCCCUUACGGGUGGCGAGUGGCGGACGGGUGAGGAAUACAUCGGAAUCUACUUUUUCGUGGGGGAUAACGUAGGGAAACUUACGCUAAUACCGCAUACGACCUACGGGUGAAAGCAGGGGAUCUUCGGACCUUGCGCGAUUGAAUGAGCCGAUGUCGGAUUAGCUAGUUGGCGGGGUAAAGGCCCACCAAGGCGACGAUCCGUAGCUGGUCUGAGAGGAUGAUCAGCCACACUGGAACUGAGACACGGUCCAGACUCCUACGGGAGGCAGCAGUGGGGAAUAUUGGACAAUGGGCGCAAGCCUGAUCCAGCCAUACCGCGUGGGUGAAGAAGGCCUUCGGGUUGUAAAGCCCUUUUGUUGGGAAAGAAAAGCAGCAGGUUAAUACCCCGCUGUUCUGACGGUACCCAAAGAAUAAGCACCGGCUAACUGCGU